CAUGUGGCUGAGCUUAGUGUGGCUUUUAAGUGUUCCUCGGUAUGCCGUGCUUACGCAAGUUAUUUUCUGCUGUGGAUUGUUGAUGCUGCAGCAGCAGAUAGAGUGAUGUGCCUUGAAUUCCAAUGAGGAGAAGGCGUUGGUUUAUUUGGGUUUUUUGAGUACAGAAGAGACCCAGGAGAAGCUGGACACAGAAUGUCCACAGAAUGGACUGCAGUGACAGAGAUGGGAGCCUUGAGAUAUCCUUUCAACAGCUGCUGACUGAAAAUAUUCAGGAACUGGCAGAAAAAUAAAAAGCCCUAAUGCUGGGAAUAGGUCUGCUGGAACUCACCACCACUGCUUCUUUAGUGGAUUCAUCAUCAUUCAGGU
This is a long non-coding RNA of Poecile atricapillus (Black-capped chickadee), 366 nucleotides long. RefSeq lists it as uncharacterized. NCBI's taxonomy places the organism in Eukaryota, Metazoa, Chordata, Aves, Passeriformes, Paridae. The transcript is spliced from 3 exons. The record is from RefSeq and is a predicted model, not a curated record.